AUGUCUUCGCCGAGCAGAGUGGGAGGAGGAGUUCAGGUAGGUGAUUGCAGUGCUCAUAAUGGUACACCAAUUGGCUCUUGUUGUCCUGGUGGUAAGGAUCAUGGUGGUGAGGGAGGACAUCAAGUGAAUUCGCCAAUUGAAUCUUCUCCCAUAAGUGUGGCCCCUCCUUCUGUGUCUGUUUUCCAUGCUGGGGCGCCUAGGUUUGAGGAGGUUACUCAAUUGAUUGACCAUUAUUUUGUAGAGGGUGAUGUUGGUGUGAGCUCUGACCAGAGACGGCCCGUCUUGUCUGAAACACAAUCGCAGUCUGUUGGUGGUAUAGAGGAAGUUACACAGGAUUGGAUGGUCUCGGAACAACUUCGUGCAUAUGAAUUGAAGCAAAGCAGGAAGAAGUUGAGGUUUGAAAGUGACUCAAAAGAGUUUGCAGAGAAGGAGAAGCAGAGGAGAGCUGCAGAUGGUGCCAAGGGUGCCAAAUUUGCCAAGAAUCUUGGGAAGAGAACUGCUGAAGCUGGUGGAAAGGAUCCUCAACGCAAGCGACUACAUGUCACUGAAGGUCCCAACUCUGACGAUGACGACUUUGUGCUUGCUGAUUUUGUGAGGGAUGUUCAUACUAGUAGACGCAAAGACUGUGGUUCAUCUAAGAGUCUACCCAAGCAUGCCCGUGAUGAUGUCGAUGAAGAUGUUGGUGCUGACUCUGGCGAGGAGGCGGAUGUUGUUCCAAAGAGGAAGAAGUAUAGUAAGAGCAAUGCAACUGAAGAUGAUGCCGAGGGAGAUGAUUCUCGAUUUAACAAGACCGUAUGUUUGUCGCUUCCCAUUGUUUGCAAGGCUACUGCUUUAUUGAAAGAGGCACACUGUAGUCAUGUUCGGGAUGCUGGAUUCGGUGUUUUCUUUGAACUGACAGUAAAGAAAAAUGUGUCGCAUAUUCUUAUGUGCUAUCUGAUGGGAGUGAUUGACCCUGCCACCAUGAUAAUGGACUUUGGGAAUGGCAGGGUUCUUAAAAUCAAUCGUGAUGUAGUUCAUCACAUUUUUGAUUUACCUAUGGGACGUCACACUACACCCAUGCCUGUUGCCAGCGGCCAUGAUGACUCGUUGACUGCCCUCAAGGAUGAGCUUGGCUUUGACCGUUCAAAAAGUAUAGGUGUCAAGGACUUGCUUGAGAAGUUGAAGGUGUUGGUGGAGGAAGAUGAUCAUGUGACUAUUGACCUUGCUGUGAAGGACCUGAUGAAGUUAUACAAUGAGGAUGUGCUUGUGAAGGGAAAGAUUUACUUGGAAACUUACAAAUUUGGCAAGCUGUCGUGGAAGGCGUCAGGUGAUAUUGUGUACAACCGUCCUGUUACAGUUGUAUGUGGCAGCUCUGAUGCGGGGCCUAUCACUCAUGCUAGGUUUUAUGAGCCUAUUUGUAGCCAGCUUCCUGCCUAUGAUGAUGAGGUGCCGCGUACUCGUGGUUUCAUGGCUCGACAGAUGUUUGAUAAUAGAAGCUCUCCUAAACAGACAUUUGUUGGCGGCAAAAAACACGAGGAGAUUGAUGAGCUUCUUCUGAAGGUUUUGAAGUUGACUGAAGAUUUGCCAACCUCUGGUGACAGGUUGAGGAUAGUUGCUGUUUUUUCCCUGUUGGCCAUGGCCCACGAGAUGAAGAUAUUGUUGCCGCUCACAAUUUUGAUUGCGGCGUGA
RNAcentral lists this ribosomal RNA (1668 nucleotides) under Triticum aestivum (bread wheat). RNAcentral's name for it is "partial small subunit ribosomal RNA". The record is from RNAcentral. Lineage: Eukaryota; Viridiplantae; Streptophyta; Magnoliopsida; Poales; Poaceae.